CUCCUGACUGACCGAUAGUGAACCAGUACCGUGAGGGAAAGGCGAAAAGAACCCCUGUGAGGGGAGUGAAAUAGAACCUGAAACCGUAUACGUACAAGCAGUGGAAGCGGUUCUUGAGACCGUGACUGCGUACCUUUUGUAUAAUGGGUCAGCGACUUACAUUUAGUAGCGAGGUUAAGCGAAUAGCGGAGCCGUAGGGAAACCGAGUGUUAACUGCGCGUAUAGUUGCUAGGUGUAGACCCGAAACCCGGUGAUCUAGCCAUGGGCAGGUUGAAGGUUGAGUAACAUCAACUGGAGGACCGAACCGACUAAUGUUGAAAAAUUAGCGGAUGA
Molecule: ribosomal RNA, 333 nt
Filed under: Shewanella algae
Lineage: Bacteria; Pseudomonadati; Pseudomonadota; Gammaproteobacteria; Alteromonadales; Shewanellaceae
Description: partial 23S ribosomal RNA
Rfam family: Bacterial large subunit ribosomal RNA
Source: RNAcentral